UUCUCUAUAGAUUAGUCUCAUAAGUGCUAUGUUAUUUAGCUGCUUGCCUUUCAGAUUGCUAUAACCAUUUAUUUGUGAUAUUCUGGCCAUUAUGUAUGAUUGUAACUGAAAUGAUAAUGAUUUCAAAUUACUUCUCCUUAGUGCUGUCCUUUGGGAUUUUAUUAACUGAUAAUUUAUGGCUGGUGUGAUGUGUUUGAAAUACUCUUUUGAGUUCUGUUGCUUGCGUCUAUCUGUUCUUGAAUUCCUGUGAUGCACGUAUUAUAUGAUUUAUGCCCGCUUCAAUGUGUUACGUGCUCUCUGAGUUGUUAUGUUCAUAUGAACUUAUCUUCUGUUGCUCCUUCUUUUACUCAUCAUAAUUAGUUUUUCAAGUGUUGGUGGCCUCCUAACCAUGUCACUGAUAUUAUUAUCAUCAGGAGUUUGUUCUUUUUGAUAUGCCUGUUGCAUGGCUGCUUGUGCUACUGUUGAUGAAUUGAAGAAGUUGCUACAGGUUUGGUUUCUAAAGUUUCAGUGAGGUUUUGAUUGUGACCACUACUUUACUCCAAGCAUGAUCGGAACCUGGCUCCAAAUCCGGAUGCUCUACAAUGACAUUGUCAAGUCCAACUUAUCUUUCCACUUGCAACAUUUAUGACACUGUCAUCACAGGAAAUCUGUAGAAUAUAGAUUAUGAAUUGAUUCCAAGAGCUUAGGCACUGUUUUCUUUGGAUCCACAUUAGUAGCAGCUUCGAAGGCUUCCAUAGAAGAUUUGUAAAUGGUUGGUGAGUGAGGGAUGAUACAUUCAUUCACGUGAUUAAUUUGUUUGAGAGGUUUAAGCAUUUCAAAG
RNAcentral lists this long non-coding RNA (820 nucleotides) under Lupinus angustifolius (narrow-leaved blue lupine). RNAcentral describes it as "long non-coding RNA (LANG_LNC000840)". Lineage: Eukaryota; Viridiplantae; Streptophyta; Magnoliopsida; Fabales; Fabaceae. The record is from RNAcentral.